RNAcentral lists this ribosomal RNA (354 nucleotides) under Phelsuma pusilla hallmanni. Its description in RNAcentral is "partial 12S ribosomal RNA". It matches the Rfam family "Bacterial small subunit ribosomal RNA", at positions 878 to 1394 of the family's 1533-position model. Lineage: Eukaryota; Metazoa; Chordata; Lepidosauria; Squamata; Gekkonidae. The record is from RNAcentral.
AAUUACAAGCGAAAGCAUAAAAUUCAAAGGACUUGACGGUACUUCACAUCAGCCUAGAGGAGCCUGUCCUAUAAUCGAUAACCCACGUUUUACCUCACCUACUUUUGCAAAACCAGCCUGUAUACCGCCGUCGCCAGCCCAUCUAAUGAUAGAACAAAAAUGGACAAAAUUGUAAAACUACAAAAACGUCAGGUCAAGGUGCAGCUAAUGAGCAGGCCGAGAUGGGCUACAUUUUUUAAGUUAAAAAACUACUACCAAGCUACAUGAAACACUGAGCUAUCAAGGUGGAUUUAGUAGUAAAUGUGUGCAAGACAUGCCACAUUGAAACCCGUUAUGAAGUGCGUACACACCGCC